AGCAGCCGCGGUAAUUCCAGCUCCAAUAGCGUAUAUUAAAGUUGUUGCAGUUAAAAAGCUCGUAGUUGAAUUUCGGGGUUAGUAGAUUGGUCGUGCCACGGGUAUGUACUGGUCUUACUGAUUCCUCCUUCCUGAUGAACCGUAAUGCCAUUAAUUUGGUGUUGCGGGGAGACUGGACUGUUACUUUGAAAAAAUUAGAGUGUUUAAAGCAGGCUUACGCUUGAAUACAUUGGCAUGGAAUAAUGAAAUAGGACGUUCGAUCCUAUUUUGUUGGUUUCUAGGAUUGACGUAAUGAUUAAUAGGGAUAGUUGGGGGCAUUAGUAUUCAAUUGUCAGAGGUGAAAUUCUUGGAUUUAUUGAAGACUAACUACUGCGAAAGCAUUUGCCAAGGAUGUUUUCUAUUAAUCAAGAACGAAAGUUAGGGGAUCGAAGACGAUCAGAUACCGUCGUAGUCUUAACCAUAAACUAUGCCGACUAGGGAUCGGAUGAUGUUAAUUUUUUAAUGACUCAUUCGGCGCCUU
This 520-nucleotide ribosomal RNA is filed under the name uncultured Glomus. RNAcentral's name for it is "SSU rRNA". It matches the Rfam family "Eukaryotic small subunit ribosomal RNA", at positions 569 to 1089 of the family's 1831-position model. Lineage: Eukaryota; Fungi; Glomeromycota; Glomeromycetes; Glomerales; Glomeraceae. The record is from RNAcentral.